AAUCAACGCUGGCGGCGUGCCUCAGACAUGCAAGUCGAACGAUUAAAGCUCUCUUCGGAGAGUGCAUAAAGUGGCGCACGGGUGAGUAACACGUAAGUAAUCUACCUUCGAGUGGGAUAACGUCCGGAACGGACGCUAAUACCGCAUAACGCAGCGGCAUCGCAAGAUGACAGUUGUUAAAGAUUUAUCGCUUGAAGAGGAGCUUGCGGCAGAUUAGCUUGUUGGUAAGGUAACGGCUUACCAAGGCUACGAUCUGUAACCGGUCUAAGAGGACGGUCGGUCACACUGACACUGAAUAACGGGUCAGACUCCUACGGGAGGCAGCAGUC
Molecule: ribosomal RNA, 329 nt
Filed under: uncultured bacterium
Lineage: Bacteria
Description: bacterial SSU rRNA
Rfam family: Bacterial small subunit ribosomal RNA
Source: RNAcentral